AGCGGACGCUGGCGGCAGGCCUAACACAUGCAAGUCGAACGGAUCCUUCGGGAUUAGUGGCGGACGGGUGAGUAACACGUGGGAACGUGCCCUUUGGUUCGGAACAACUCAGGGAAACUUGAGCUAAUACCGGAUGUGCCCUUCGGGGGAAAGAUUUAUCGCCAUUGGAGCGGCCCGCGUCUGAUUAGCUAGUUGGUGAGGUAACGGCCCACCAAGGCGACGAUCAGUAGCUGGUCUGAGAGGAUGAUCAGCCACACUGGGACGGAGACACGGCCCAGACUCCUACGGGAGGCAGCAGUGGGGAAUCUUGCGCAAUGGGCGAAAGCCUGACGCAGCCAUGCCGCGUGAAUGAUGAAGGUCUUAGGAUUGUAAAAUUCUUUCAGCGGGGACGAUAAUGACGGUACCCGCAGAAGAAGCUCCGGCUAACUUCGUG
RNAcentral lists this ribosomal RNA (433 nucleotides) under uncultured bacterium. RNAcentral describes it as "partial 16S ribosomal RNA". It matches the Rfam family "Bacterial small subunit ribosomal RNA", at positions 29 to 507 of the family's 1533-position model. The record is from RNAcentral.